This 1483-nucleotide ribosomal RNA is filed under the name uncultured Pseudomonas sp. Its description in RNAcentral is "16S ribosomal RNA". It matches the Rfam family "Bacterial small subunit ribosomal RNA". The record is from RNAcentral. Lineage: Bacteria; Pseudomonadati; Pseudomonadota; Gammaproteobacteria; Pseudomonadales; Pseudomonadaceae.
GUUUGAUCCUGGCUCAGAUUGAACGCUGGCGGCAUGCCUUACACAUGCAAGUCGAACGGUAACAGGUUAAGCUGACGAGUGGCGAACGGGUGAGUAAUAUAUCGGAACGUGCCCAGUCGUGGGGGAUAACUGCUCGAAAGAGCAGCUAAUACCGCAUACGACCUGAGGGUGAAAGCGGGGGAUCGCAAGACCUCGCGCGAUUGGAGCGGCCGAUAUCAGAUUAGGUAGUUGGUGGGGUAAAGGCUCACCAAGCCAACGAUCUGUAGCUGGUCUGAGAGGACGACCAGCCACACUGGGACUGAGACACGGCCCAGACUCCUACGAGAGGCAGCAGUGGGGAAUUUUGGACAAUGGGCGCAAGCCUGAUCCAGCCAUGCCGCGUGCGGGAAGAAGGCCUUCGGGUUGUAAACCGCUUUUGUCAGGGAAGAAAAGGUUCUGGUUAAUACCUGGGACUCAUGACGGUACCUGAAGAAUAAGCACCGGCUAACUACGUGCCAGCAGCCGCGGUAAUACGUAGGGUGCAAGCGUUAAUCGGAAUUACUGGGCGUAAAGCGUGCGCAGGCGGUUAUGCAAGACAGAUGUGAAAUCCCCGGGCUCAACCUGGGAACUGCAUUUGUGACUGCAUAGCUAGAGUACGGUAGAGGGGGGAUGGAAUUCCGCGUGUAGCAGUGAAAUGCGUAGAUAUGCGGAGGAACACCGAUGGCGAAGGCAAUCCCCUGGACCUGUACUGACGCUCAUGCACGAAAGCGUGGGGAGCAAACAGGAUUAAAUACCCUGGUAGUCCACGCCCUAAACGAUGUCAACUGGUUGUUGGGAGGGUUUCUUCUCAGUAACGAAGCUAACGCGUGAAGUUGACCGCCUGGGGAGUACGGCCGCAAGGUUGAAACUCAAAGGAAUUGACGGGGACCCGCACAAGCGGUGGAUGAUGUGGUUUAAUUCGAUGCAACGCGAAAAACCUUACCUACCCUUGACAUGUCUGGAAUCCUGAAGAGAUUUGGGAGUGCUCGAAAGAGAGCCAGAACACAGGUGCUGCAUGGCCGUCGUCAGCUCGUGUCGUGAGAUGUUGGGUUAAGUCCCGCAACGAGCGCAACCCUUGUCAUUAGUUGCUACGAAAGGGCACUCUAACGAGACUGCCGGUGACAAACCGGAGGAAGGUGGGGAUGACGUCAGGUCAUCAUGGCCCUUAUGGGUAGGGCUACACACGUCAUACAAUGGCCGGGACAGAGGGCUGCCAACCCGCGAGGGGGAGCUAAUCCCAGAAACCCGGUCGUAGUCCGGAUCGUAGUCUGCAACUCGACUGCGUGAAGUCGGAAUCGCUAGUAAUCGCGGAUCAGCUUGCCGCGGUGAAUACGUUCCCGGGUCUUGUACACACCGCCCGUCACACCAUGGGAGCGGGUUCUGCCAGAAGUAGUUAGCCUAACCGCAAGGAGGGCGAUUACCACGGCAGGGUUCGUGACUGGGGUGAAGUCGUAACAAGGUAACC